GGGGCUGUAGCGCAGCUGGGAGCGCGUCGCAAUCGCACUGCGAAGGUCAGGGGUUCGAAUCCCCUCAGCUCCA
RNAcentral lists this transfer RNA (73 nucleotides) under Allomeiothermus silvanus DSM 9946. RNAcentral's name for it is "Meiothermus silvanus DSM 9946 tRNA". It matches the Rfam family "tRNA". From Rfam's summary of the family: Transfer RNA (tRNA) molecules are approximately 80 nucleotides in length. Their secondary structure includes four short double-helical elements and three loops (D, anti-codon, and T loops). Lineage: Bacteria; Thermotogati; Deinococcota; Deinococci; Thermales; Thermaceae. The record is from Rfam by way of RNAcentral. RNAcentral also lists the same sequence under 1 other name.